UUCAAUCUGGCAAAAAAUUGAUGUGUCGAAUUUAAGAUUCGCUUAUAGACUUUGUCGGUUGGAA
Molecule: transfer RNA, 64 nt
Filed under: Pseudocellus gertschi
Lineage: Eukaryota; Metazoa; Arthropoda; Arachnida; Ricinulei; Ricinoididae
Description: tRNA-Leu
Source: RNAcentral